CGUCCUAUUUGGGACUCAUCGGCU
Molecule: microRNA, 24 nt
Filed under: Schistosoma japonicum
Lineage: Eukaryota; Metazoa; Platyhelminthes; Trematoda; Strigeidida; Schistosomatidae
Description: sja-miR-3119*
Source: RNAcentral